CUUAAGAAGGGAUUGGGAUCAAAGAGGUAUGUGGAGAGAGGGUUGGGGGUGAUGGGCUGGCAUUCAGCCGCAGGCAGGGCAGGAAGUCUGUUUUUCCAGCCAGAGCUGGAGGAAACCAGUCUUGCAAAGCUGUGGAUGACUCAGAAGGGAGGACAGUGCCGUGUGGGGGCGGAGGCAGAGUGACUGAUCACUUCCCUCCCGCAGACAGGCUUCAUCUUCGGAACAUUCGAUCAGAGGUCUGAGUUCUCUGAGGCUUAUGCCUGCUGAGAGAAGAGGAGGGCUGCCCUGAGGCUUGGAAAUGCUGCCUGAUCUGCUCCAAGGCCAGCUCUGCCCCUGUUGGCAGGGGUGGAACGGACCAGCACGCCCCCUGCUGGCAGAGGUUGAAUGGACAGGGCUCAAUGUGAGCCACGAGUCACAGAGACUGGAUGAAAGAAGAGAUUGUUGAAUUAAGCUUCUGUCUACAGAGCUAUGCUGAGAUCUGCAGAGGAACACAGGGGUUGCCUCAGGAGCUGGCUGGUGACAUCUGUCAGGAGGAACAAAGCCUUGAGUGCCCGGGUGCAAGCUUGCCUAGGUAGAAGGCUUACCCGGCCACACCCAAUGCUCAGCUAAUCCCAGCAGGAGGCCUGCCAAGCGAGCUUUGCAUCUGCAAAUCCGUGCCACAGAGGACAGGGAUGUCAGAGAGGUGAAACGACACGCUCAGGAUCACCGAAGUAGGAUGGGGGCAGGAAGGAAAUCUGCCUCAACCCAUCUCUUUAUGCACCACCACACCCUGAGAUCAGACAGACUGCAGAAGGCCAGCGGCUCUGCCUAGGCCGUGCCCCUCUGCACUGAGGGGCUCUCUGGGGCCCAGGCUUUGAGGAGACUUCAUCCUCAGCCAGAAGCAGACCUGAUUACCCUCUGAUUACCUGGGACUGGAGACUAGGGCCAUCCUAUGGGAGAUGUUUUCUGGUGGGACUUAGCUGGGAAGGGACCCGCGGGUGCAGUUGCCAUUUAGUGACCACCUACUGUGUGCCAUGCACGUCUCAAACACAGUCUUUUUCACAUCCCAAUAUUUGUCAAAGGGCUCUGCAUCUCUGACUUGUGGCUUUGAGUGUGGAGAACAGCGGGAUAAUAUACCUGAUGUGUCAUCGGCAGCCAGAUCCUGCUAAGGUCAAAUCACUGUGGGUUGUAAUUGUCACUUAAGACGCCCAGUGUUUCUCAAUCUUAGGUUCCUAUGACAGCUGGCAACGGAUAAGUGUGUAGAGGAGGGAAGUAGUGGGGUAAAAGUGUCCUGGCACAUGGUUCCAGCUGUCCCCUGUCCUACCCAGCAGAAAGAGCACGCAGAAUGACAAGGCUGGAAAAUGGAAAAAAAAAAAAAAAAAAAAAAAGAGGUGCUGCAGGUUGUGCUGUAGUUGCUUUGGGCGGACUGAAGGUGGCGCUCACGGUACUGCAGGCUCCACACGAAAAUGUGAGGCUAGCCCAGCUUCUCCAACACCCUGGAGGUGGGGGAUGUGCGGGGCUCUACAUCUGCACAGAGCCUCUUUCCAGCCCCUGUCUGACCACCUGGACAAAGGAGUCAGGAUGAGGGCACUUCCUAACCUACUUGUUUCCUAAUACAAAGUUACAUUCUGUCUGAAGGCAGGGCAAGCCACAGCAAGGUGCCGGGCCACACUAAGGAUGGUUUAGACCAGGGCAGCCACAGGACACGUGUUUCGGGUUUAGAAACACAAAUGGUGCAAGCGUGUGCAGUCUAAGGAUGACACACACCACGGUACCAUGUUGUCUUUAUAGAUGUCCAGUUCUGCAGUGACCCACCCUGCACACAGCAGCCCCCCCUCAGCACCCCAGCAGCACCUGGCUUCCAGAAACCUCCAGGCGCCCCGCAGACAAAACAUCUCUCACCAAUGUGUGAGCGUCCUCGUGGGGGAGCUGCAGGUCUUUCUUUCCCAGAGCCUGAAGACUGGCCGGGGGGCUUAUGCCCCUAAUUCUUUUCUCCCUUUCAGAAUUUGGGAUUUUGCUUUCAUUGUUAACCUGGGGGUUGAAACGGGUACCCUAGCUUAACACACACACACACACACACACACACACACACACACACACUCACACACUUUUUCUUUGAAAAGUAAGGAUGCAUAUUAUUGUUUUUUUAAAGACCCUGAAAGGACUGGCCACACAGUGGGUGCUCAAGUGUCGCCUCCCUUCCGGUGCUGGGGCUUGUUUCGUGUUCAUUAAAUGCGCCUUGCAGACAGGCUUAAAAAUCUUGUUUCCUCUCCCCAUCGACGGAAAUGUCUCUCUCAUAAGUAACAUUUUAAACAUCUCGAUAACAUGCUCACAGGUGUGUGAACUGUAGUUUAUUUGAAUCUUCCAUUACUGUACUUUUAGUCUGUUUUCAAUUUUUCUCCUAAUAAAUGAUACGGCUGAUGUCUUUA
Molecule: small RNA, 2408 nt
Filed under: Rattus norvegicus (Norway rat)
Lineage: Eukaryota; Metazoa; Chordata; Mammalia; Rodentia; Muridae
Description: uncharacterized LOC102546759
Source: RNAcentral